UUAAGAGAAUUAAGGGCACACGGUGGAUGCCUAGGUAAUAAGAGCCGAUGAAGGACGUGGUAAGCUGCGAUAAGCCUGGAGUAGUUGCAAUCGAACUUUGAUCCCAGGAUUUCCCAAUGGAGAAAUCUGCUAAGAUGGAGUCUUAGCGUGAAAACGGUAACCUGAUGAACUGAAACAUCUAAGUAGUCAGAGGAAAAGAAAGUAAAAACGAUUCCCUAAGUAGCGGCGAGCGAACGGGGACAAAGCCUAAAUCAUGUAAGUGUCAAGGAUGCAGCCGUUGCUUGCAUGAGGUAGUGGGAAGUUGCUUGAAGAACUGCAAGUUAUUCAGCGAUGUUAUUUCAACCAAUUAGAAUAAGCUGGAAAGCUUAACCAUAGAAGGUGAUAGUCCUGUAUAGGUAAAUUGGAAUAUGCGCGUGACUCUCCCGAGUAGCACGGAACACGAGGAAUUCUGUGUGAAUCUGCGAGGACCAUAUCUCGUAAGGCUAAAUACUCUUAUUAACCGAUAGCGUAUAGUACCGUGAGGGAAAGGUGAAAAGAACCCCGGGAGGGGAGUGAAAUAGAACCUGAAAUCGUGUGCUUACAAGCGGUCAGAGCCCUUCGGGGUGAUGGCGUGCCUUUUGGAGAAUGAUCCUGCGAGUUACGUUCAGUGGCGAGGUUAAGUAUACCGGAGCCGCAGGGAAACCGAGUCUUAAUAGGGCGCAUAGUCGCUGGGCGUAGACGCGAAACUUGGUGAUCUAAUCCUGUCCAGGGUGAAGCUGUGGUAAGACACAGUGGAGGCCCGAACUCACCGCCGUUGAAAAGUUGGGAGAUGAGAUAGGUUUAGGGGUGAAACGCCAAUCGAACUAAGAGAUAGCUCGUUCUCUCCGAAAUGCAUUUAGGUGCAGCCUUAGGAGAUAAAUUACGGGGGUAGAGCACUGAAUGGUCUAGGGGGCAUAUUGCUUACUGAAACCAACCAAACUCCGAAUACCGUAAUUCCCAUCCUAGGAGUGAGACUAUGGGUACUAAGAUCCAUGGUCAAAAGGGAAACAACCCAGACCGUCAGCUAAGGUCCCUAAUUAUAGCUAAGUGGGAAAGGAGGUGGAGAUUCACAAACAACCAGGAGGUUGGCUUAGAAGCAGCCAUACCUUUAAAGAGUGCGUAAUAGCUCACUGGUCGAGAGUCUCUGCGCCGACAAUGUAACGGGGCUAAGCUAUAAACCGAAGCUACGGAAUUAUGCGUAUGCAUAAUUGGUAGGAGAGCGUUCUGUAGGCUGUUGAAGGAGGACUGAUAAGGAACUCUGGAGGUAUCAGAAGUGAGAAUGCAGGAAUAAGUAGCGAGAAAGAGGGUGAGAAUCCUUCUCGCCGGAAGACCAAGGUUUCCAGGGUAAAGCUUGUCUUCCCUGGGUAAGCCGGGACCUAAGCUGAGGCUAUAAUGCGUAGGCGAAUGGAAAACAGAUUAAUAUUUCUGUGCCACUUAUAUAUUGUGAAGGAGGGACGCAGAAGGGUAUGUAAGCAGGAGAACGGAAGUUCCUGUGUAAGCAUGUAGAGUGAAACGGCAGGCAAAUCCGCUGUUUUAGACUUGAGGUGUGAUGCGUAGCCCAUUAGGGCGAAUUUACAGAUCCCACGCUGCCAAGAAAAGCUUCUAGCGUUAAUAUAUAAGUGCCCGUACUGUAAACCGACACAGGUGGUCAGAAUGAGAAAUUUAAGGCGGACAGGCUAACUCUCGCUAAGGAACUCUGCAAAAUGAAUCCGUAACUUCGGGAGAAGGAUUGCCCCUUUGUGUAGAGAGCUGUGCGCUCAAAGCAUGAGGGGGUCGCAGUGAAGAGGCUCAGGCAACUGUUUAACAAAAACAUAGGUCUAUGCUAAGCUGUAAGGCGAUGUAUAUGGGCUGACACCUGCCCAGUGCCGGAAGGUUAAGAGGAGGAGUGAGAGCUCCGAAUUGAAGCCCCGGUGAACGGCGGCCGUAACUAUAACGGUCCUAAGGUAGCGAAAUUCCUUGUCGGGUAAGUUCCGACCUGCACGAAAGGUGUAAUGAUCUGAGCGCUGUCUUGGCGGGAGGCCUGGUGAAAUUGUAUUACCGGUGAAGAUACCGGUUACCUGCAGUAGGACGGAAAGACCCCAUGGAGCUUUACUGUAGCUUGGUAUUGGGUUUUGGUGUCGUAUGUAUAGGAUAGUUGGGAGGCUAUGAUGUAUGGACGCUAGUUCAUGCGGAGCCGCUGGUGGAAUACCAACCAUACUACACUAGAAUUCUAAUUUGAGGUUUGUAACCUCGAAGACAGUGCUAGGUGGGCAGUUUGACUGGGGCGGUCGCCUCCGAAAGAGUAACGGAGGCGCCCAAAGGUUCCCUCAGGUUGGAUGGAAAUCAACCGCAGAGUGUAAUGGCAGAAGGGAGCUUGACUGCGAGACUGACGGGUCGAGCAGGUGCGAAAGCAGGGCAUAGUGAUCCGGCGAUUCCGAAUGGAAGGGUCGUCGCUCAACGGAUAAAAGCUACCCUGGGGAUAACAGGCUGAUUUUGCCCGAGAGUCCAUAUCGACGGCAAAGUUUGGCACCUCGAUGUCGGCUCAUCUCAUCCUGGGGCUGGAGAAGGUCCCAAGGGUUGGGCUGUUCGCCCAUUAAAGAGGUACGUGAGCUGGGUUCAGAACGUCGUGAGACAGUUCGGUCCCUAUCCACUGCAGGCGUAAGAGUAUUGCAAAGAUCUGUCCUUAGUACGAGAGGACCGGGAUGGACAAACCUCUGAUGUACCAGUUGUCACGCCAGUGGCACAGCUGGGUAGUCACGUUUGGAAUAGAUAACCGCUGAAAGCAUCUAAGCGGGAAACUGACUUUAAGAUAAGUACUCUAUAGACAACUUCGAGACUAGGAGUUUGAUAGGUUGGGAGUGUAAGAGCAGCAAUGUUUUUAGCGGACCAAUACUAAUAAGUCGGAAUCUUAAUCUU
RNAcentral lists this ribosomal RNA (2913 nucleotides) under human gut metagenome. RNAcentral's name for it is "bacterial LSU rRNA". It matches the Rfam family "Bacterial large subunit ribosomal RNA". The record is from RNAcentral.